GUCUAGUAUAGCAACUUAUAUUGUGAAACUGCGAAUGGCUCAUUAAAUCAGUUAUAGUUUAUUUGAUGGUGACUUGCUACAUGGAUAACUGUGGUAAAUCUARAGCUAAUACAUGCAAUCAAGCCCCGACUUCUGGGAGGGGUGUAUUUAUUAGAUAAAAACCAACCGCUUCGGCGACCCUUGGUGAAUCAUGAUAACUUUUCUAAUCGCAUGGCCUUGCGCCRGCGAUGCUUCAUUCAAAUAUCUGCCCUAUCAACUGUCGAUGGUAGGAUAGAGGCCUACCAUGGUUGCAACGGGUAACGGGGAAUAAGGGUUCGAUUCCGGAGAGGGAGCCUGAGAAACGGCUACCACAUCCAAGGAAGGCAGCAGGCGCGCAAAUUACCCAAUCCCGACACGGGGAGGUAGUGACAAUACAUAACAAUCUGGAGCUUUUUAAAGGUUCUGGAAUUGGAAUGAGUACAAUUUAAAUCCCUUAACGAGGAACAAUUGGAGGGCAAGUCUGGUGCCAGCAGCCGCGGUAAUUCCAGCUCCAAUAGCGUAUAUUAAAGUUGUUGCAGUUAAAAAGCUCGUAGUUGAAUUUCGGGUGUGCACGGUGCUGUCCUCUUCACUGAGCGAUUGGUGCGGUGCUGCCCUAACCUUGUGGUGAUGCGUGCGCGGUGGUUUGCGCUGCUGCGUGCGUGGAACCAUGAACUGUUACCUUGAAAAAAUUAGAGUGUUCAAAGCAGGCUAUGAUGCCGGAAUACAUUAGCAUGGAAUAAUGAAAUAGGACGUGCGGACCUAUUUUGUUGGUUUCUAGGAGCCGCCGUAAUGAUUAAUAGGGAUAGCCGGGGGCAUYUGUAUUCAAUGGCAAGGGGUGAAAUCCUUGGAUUCAUUGAAGACAAACUUCUKCGAAAGCAUUUGCCAAGGAUGUUUUCAUUAAUCAAGAACGAAGGUGAGGGGAUCGAAAACGAUUAGAUACCGUUGUAGUCUUCACAGUAAACUAUGCCGACUAGGGAUCGGUCGACGUUCAUAUAUAUUUGACUCGAUCGGCACCUUGCGAGAAAUCAAAGUCU
This 1052-nucleotide ribosomal RNA is filed under the name Ceraceosorales sp. SA252w. RNAcentral describes it as "SSU rRNA". It matches the Rfam family "Eukaryotic small subunit ribosomal RNA", at positions 57 to 1117 of the family's 1831-position model. Lineage: Eukaryota; Fungi; Basidiomycota; Exobasidiomycetes; Ceraceosorales. The record is from RNAcentral.